UACGUAGGGUCCAAGCGUUAUCCGGAAUCACUGGGCGUAAAGCGUGCGUAGGCGGCGUGUUAAGUGUGAUGUUAAAUCGUGUGGCUCAACCAUAUCGAUGUGUCGCAUACUGGCAUGCUAGAGGGAAGCAGAGGCAAGUGGAAUUUGUAGUGUAGCAGUGAAAUGCGUAGAUAUUACAAGGAACACCAAUGGCGAAGGCAGCUUGCUGGGCUUCUUCUGACACUGAGGUACGAAAGCGUGGGGAGCGAACAGG
RNAcentral lists this ribosomal RNA (253 nucleotides) under uncultured bacterium. RNAcentral describes it as "partial 16S ribosomal RNA". It matches the Rfam family "Bacterial small subunit ribosomal RNA", at positions 524 to 776 of the family's 1533-position model. The record is from RNAcentral.